GAGUUUGAUCCUGGCUCAGGAUGAACGCUGGCGGCAUGCCUAACACAUGCAAGUUGAACGAGAAGUUUUGGAGGGAGUCUUCGGACGAACGAAGGAAUGGAAAGUAGCGAACGGGUGAGUAACGCGUGGGCAACCAACCUUACACAGGGGGAUAACACAGAGAAAUCUGUGCUAAUACCGCAUAAGCGCACAGUACUGCAUAGUACAGUGUGAAAAACUCCGGUGGUGUAAGACGGGCCCGCGUCUGAUUAGCUAGUUGGUAGGGUAAAAGCCUACCAAGGCAACGAUCAGUAGCCGACCUGAGAGGGUGAUCGGCCACAUUGGGACUGAGACACGGCCCAAACUCCUACGGGAGGCAGCAGUGGGGGAUAUUGCACAAUGGAGGAAACUCUGAUGCAGCAAUGCCGCGUGAAGGAAGAAGGUCUUCGGAUUGUAAACUUCUAUCAGCAGGGAAGAAAAUGACGUACCUGACUAAGAGCCCCGC
RNAcentral lists this ribosomal RNA (484 nucleotides) under Lachnospiraceae bacterium canine oral taxon 106. RNAcentral's name for it is "bacterial SSU rRNA". It matches the Rfam family "Bacterial small subunit ribosomal RNA", at positions 9 to 496 of the family's 1533-position model. The record is from RNAcentral. Lineage: Bacteria; Bacillati; Bacillota; Clostridia; Lachnospirales; Lachnospiraceae.